This 253-nucleotide ribosomal RNA is filed under the name uncultured bacterium. RNAcentral's name for it is "partial 16S ribosomal RNA". It matches the Rfam family "Bacterial small subunit ribosomal RNA", at positions 524 to 776 of the family's 1533-position model. The record is from RNAcentral.
GACGAACCGUGCGAACGUUGUUCGGAAUAACUGGGCUUAAAGGGUGCGUAGGCGGGUCCGCCAGUCUGUGGUGAAAUCCUCCCGCUCAACGAGAGAACUGCCGUGGAUACUGCGGACCUCGAGGAAGAUAGGGGCGUGCGGAACAGUUGGUGGAGCGGUGAAAUGCGUUGAUAUCAACUGGAACUCCGGUGGCGAAGGCGGCACGCGGGGUCUUUUCUGACGCUGAGGCACGAAAGCUAGGGGAGCAAACGGG